AUGACGCCGAGGCACCCCCGGGGUGAUGGCUCGGCUCUGAUUAUUGACAUGGAGGAUGCACGGCAGGCGAUCAGCGGAUCACUGGUGGUGGGGCGGCUUCUUUCACCCUUCCAAGUGAACCCGCGGGUCAUCAUCGAUGAGCUUCGGGAUUCUUCAGCAUGGAGGCUGCGAGGAACGGUCACUGUUCAAGAUGUGGCCAGCGAGGAUUGGAGGUUCGUCCUGAAUUUUUCCACCGAGGAGGACCGGCAGUUCAUUUUGAAGGCCCAGCCAUGGCACCAUAAGCGUGAUGGAGUCAUCUUCGCCGAGUUCGACGGCAAGGGAAGCCCAGCGGAGGUUGACCUUGGCGUAAUGCCAAUAUGGGUGCAGGUUCGUGAUCUAGAUUUUGAACUCAAAACUGAGAGUAUGGGCUGGACAUUAGGAGAACAACUUGGGGAUGUGAGUGUUGUUUCCCAUAGAGAUCACUUAAUUGUAGAGAAAUAUCUGCGUAUAAGGGUGGAAAUCCCUCUCCAUGAACCUCUUAAGACAACAGUAGAAUUUACUCCUUUGGGUAGUUCUGAGAGUGUUAAGUAUGAUGUUAGAUAUGAGAAACUUCCUUUGUACUGUGAAUGUUGUGGGCUUGUAGGACAUACCUCAGAGCGUUACUGUAGUAUACCUAAGGAUAAAAGGGUUGCUUCUUUUCCAAUGAAUCUUAGUGUAGAGGCAUAUUGGAAGGGAACAGGGGCGAGUAAAAGAACACUUUUGUUUGCCGGCUCCAACAGCAACAACUACUCCAGAGCUGCAGAAAAGAGUGUGGUCAAGGUGACCAAAGUCGUGGCUGACCUCACGGUCACGGAUAUGCUCACUACGACAACUACGAUGGCAGCCGCUGCCACGUUUGGUGGGCCAACCCAGGAGGGUGUCCCGCUCGUCCAGGAGGGCCGGGUGUAUGGGGCUCCAACGCCGUCCCACCCAGCCGCUGGAUCUGGUCAGGAGGACCAGCCAACACUUCCAAGACCCUCUGCUCUCUCUAGCCAGGCGGGCCAGGGAAAGAAGGUGGGGUGCGACUCUUCCAUUGGUGCUAAGCACGGCCAGGAGGGCCAUGUGCUCGAGCGCCACGUGGGGACGACUACAUCAUGGGCUCUGGUGCAUGCUGAUGGCCGCAUGUUCGAUGCGGCAAUCCACGGGAGCCAGGGGCUCAUCAUGCCGGUUACUGUUUCUAAUUCUGAUGUUGCGGCUGGCGCAAAUAUUGUUUAA
RNAcentral lists this ribosomal RNA (1233 nucleotides) under Triticum aestivum (bread wheat). RNAcentral's name for it is "partial small subunit ribosomal RNA". The record is from RNAcentral. Lineage: Eukaryota; Viridiplantae; Streptophyta; Magnoliopsida; Poales; Poaceae.